ACUUAAUCUCUCUGGGUUUCAGUUUUGUCAUCUGUAAAAUGAGGGGGUUGGAUUUUGUGACCUGUGAGGUCCCUUCUAGCUCUUUAUCUAUGAUCCUAAAAAAUCAAAGUGCAGUGUUUGAAGGGAGUGAUCAUUAUUUGUUGGUCUAUGUUUACCCCUCUCACCACUCCCAAAUUCCCACCCCACCACAUGAGCUUCAGUUCCAUUUGGGCUCUGACCACAUUGCCUCCUCUUGAGUUAGCACAGAUCCUGAUUUGAAAAUGGACAAUGCGUUCACCCAGCCUGGUGUCAUGGAAACAGAGACGCCAGCAUUCACUCUGCCUUUUUGAAACAAAAAUCCCUGAAACUUCAUCACUCCAUUUUCAAGUGUUUGAUGGUGAACAGCACUGCAGAUUAUGGAGCCUGAUUUAUUCAGCAUUUUUACCUUAUCACAACUCUCUCUGUGGCCUGAAGCCCUCUGGGAACGCACUGUACAAAGAAGACAACCAGAAGAGGGAUUGCAUGCCGAUCUUACAAGGAAAACCAAAUAAGCUCAAUGAGACCCUUCCCUGCACAGAAAUGAACAGAUCCUGAAAUCCCCAGACAUGCAAAGAACAAGGCUACAGUAUGCAGCCUGCAAUUUUUCCCUGCAAGUAAGACAAGCAUGGUGAUGAUGGUUGAUUAAAGAGGUGGCAGCUGUGGUUG
Molecule: long non-coding RNA, 684 nt
Filed under: Phascolarctos cinereus (koala)
Lineage: Eukaryota; Metazoa; Chordata; Mammalia; Diprotodontia; Phascolarctidae
Description: lncRNA (ENSPCIG00000035740.1)
Source: RNAcentral